CGGUGAUUAGACAAGCAGUAAGUCAUCUGCACCAGGAGCAGAAAUUCAGAGGUCAUAGCCCUCUAUCACCGACCA
RNAcentral lists this transfer RNA (75 nucleotides) under Aeromonas hydrophila ML09-119. RNAcentral's name for it is "tRNA-OTHER". Lineage: Bacteria; Pseudomonadati; Pseudomonadota; Gammaproteobacteria; Aeromonadales; Aeromonadaceae. The record is from RNAcentral.